RNAcentral lists this ribosomal RNA (253 nucleotides) under uncultured bacterium. RNAcentral describes it as "partial 16S ribosomal RNA". It matches the Rfam family "Bacterial small subunit ribosomal RNA", at positions 524 to 776 of the family's 1533-position model. The record is from RNAcentral.
UACAGAGGGUGCAAGCGUUGUCCGGAAUCACUGGGCGUAAAGGGCGCGUAGGCGGCCUGAUAAGUCGGUGGUGAAAUCCUGGAGCUCAACUCCAGAACUGCCUUCGAUACUGGGAAGCUCGAGUCCGGGAGAGGUGAGUGGAACUGCGAGUGUAGAGGUGAAAUUCGUAGAUAUUCGCAAGAACACCAGUGGCGAAGGCGGCUCACUGGCCCGGUACUGACGCUGAGGUGCGAAAGCGUGGGGAGCAAACAGG